AUUUGGGAUAUCGUGAAUGUAGUAGUUACGUGAGAAAAUUCAUUCAAUGGAUAAAUCGAAUCAAUCAUAUCAAUAUGCGGUGUAAUAAACUUCAUUCUAAAGGAACCGUCUGAUUCUUUUCUAUGCUAUUUGAUUCGCGUAGUGGGUUUGGUUGAGGGAUCUGCAUAGUCCUAUCAAAUGACAAAGAUACGUUUCAGCAGGUGACUGGUAGAGACAAAAAA
Molecule: long non-coding RNA, 221 nt
Organism: Bradysia coprophila
Lineage: Eukaryota; Metazoa; Arthropoda; Insecta; Diptera; Sciaridae
Source: RefSeq, a predicted model, not a curated record